UAGGGAAUCUUCCGCAAUGGGCGAAAGCCUGACGGAGCAACGCCGCGUGAGUGAUGAAGGUCUUCGGAUCGUAAAACUCUGUUAUUAGGGAAGAACAAAUGUGUAAGUAACUAUGCACGUCUUGACGGUACCUAAUCAGAAAGCCACGGCUAACUACGUGCCAGCAGCUGCGGUAAUACGUAGGUGGCAAGCGUUAUCCGGAAUUAUUGGGCGUAAAGCGCGCGUAGGCGGUUUUUUAAGUCUGAUGUGAAAGCCCACGGCUCAACCGUAGAGGGUCAUUGGAAACUGGAAAGCUUGAGUGCAGAAGAGGAAAGGGGAAUUCCAUGUGUAGCGGUGAAAUGCGCAGAGAUAUGGGGGAACACCAGUGGCGAAGGCGACUUUCUGGUCUGUAACUGACGCUGAUGUGCGAAAGCGUGGGGAUCAAACAGG
Molecule: ribosomal RNA, 429 nt
Filed under: Actinomycetes bacterium
Lineage: Bacteria; Bacillati; Actinomycetota; Actinomycetes
Description: Actinobacteria bacterium partial 16S ribosomal RNA
Rfam family: Bacterial small subunit ribosomal RNA
Source: RNAcentral